AACGCUUUGCCGCCGGGUAGAGCUGUAAGGUGUCAGAUUUUUCAUCCGUAGGCCAUAGGAGAUGAAAAGCUGGCACCUUUUUGUAU
RNAcentral lists this non-coding RNA (86 nucleotides) under unclassified sequences. The record is from RNAcentral.